Molecule: transfer RNA, 68 nt
Filed under: Scolytinae sp. BMNH 1043133
Lineage: Eukaryota; Metazoa; Arthropoda; Insecta; Coleoptera; Curculionidae
Description: tRNA-Ser
Source: RNAcentral
AGACAAUGCCUACUGAGUAAAAAGCUUCUAACUUUUAAACUAAGCGGUGAAAUACCGUUUCAUGUCUA